This is a non-coding RNA of Danio rerio (zebrafish), 453 nucleotides long. NCBI's taxonomy places the organism in Eukaryota, Metazoa, Chordata, Actinopteri, Cypriniformes, Danionidae. The record is from RefSeq and is a predicted model, not a curated record.
CCGAGUCGAGAGGUGUGCGUACAAAUGUGAAACAGUCAAGUGGAGGCUGCUGCUGACACACGUCUGAAUGAGAUGCCUGUCUAAUGAGUCCACAGAGCAAGAACCUUCAUCAAAUGAUACUAAAAUACUCUUGAACUGUCUGUACUAACCAAGGAGGCGAAGAAGGCCACAGAUUCUCCACAAUCAUGCUGAAGCAGUUUAACAUCUUAAAGCAGUUUGGAAAUGGGGGGAAGUCACAAGAUGCAACUGACCUUCUCACAGAGGAUCUGGUUUUGGUUGAACAGCGCGUGGAGCCAGCCAAGAAAGCUGCCCAGAUCAUCCAUAAGAAGUUGGUGGGUUGCCUGCAGAGUCAGCAGGGACUGGACUCGGAAAGACGAAUGGUAAACUGACCCAACAUUUAAUCAUGUGGUUUGUAAGUGUGUUGGACCAGCCUUUGAAGCAGAUUAAGCAGCG